GCUCUUCGUCUUCCACCUUUCUUCACCAUCGUUUCUGCGUCUCCCUCCCUCUCUUCCUUUACUAUACGUUACUCGGUAUCAUCUCUUCAUCUCCCUACGCCCCUUCCAUCAUCCCCUCUUCAAAUGAUACACUUAUAUUCAAUUUUUUUUUCCUCCGCUGUUGUUGCGGGUCAAUCAGCCGGCCCCCUACUACUCUUCAUAGAUGGAAAGAUGAUACAGACCCUGCCGUGUACUCCGAGACGAUUGUAGAGUGUUCAUGGGAUCAGGAUGAGAAAGUCUGGGUACGCGAGUCAGGGUGGAUAAAUCAACGCCAAAUGAUAUCAACACUUAGAGAAAGAUGUUGCAGGCCAGACAUGGGCCGUCCAAGGCUCCACUCUCAACAACGUCACCGUUGUUGUCGUCCUAGACCCGUCAGCCCUCAUCAACCAUUUCGGGACACUUGAACUCCACUGAUGUAACUCUGUCAGUUAUGGUUCUCACCACGGUCUAUCCAAAAAUAUUUGUUGGUAACCUGUAUCUUAACUCAACUCAACUCCGGCCACCAAGUUCUACUUUGACACCACCAUCCCCGCCAUUGAAGCAUUCACAGAGAGGUUUGUGACGCAAAUGUUCAACACCUAGCUUGAGAGUGUGCAGCAGGAAUUGUUUUCACACGUGUGGAAACCAUGGAGGGGGGAAUUAAAAAGAAAGAGCUUGUGACAAUUGGUGAUCUUCAUGCCUAUCUGUCCAACUCCAACGACCAUAGCCAGGAAGCAGAUUUUCUCUGUCAAGCUAGGAUUGUCAACAUCUUUCAGCAGAAUGGCUGGUCUUAUGUCUCUUGCACCGGUUGCAGACGGAAGUUUCAAAGUGUGGUACCUCUCUACGCUGCAACAGAUGUGUUUCACCCAAUGUCACUGGAGUCAAAGACUCACCCAUGUCCAACAGAACGCUCCAAAUUGUUAAUGAUCAUAACAACUUGAGGCUAUUUUACGCAGCUUCUGUGUAGAGCUGUCCGUUGAAGAUGGCAAAGACAGUGUCACAUUUUUGGUGUUUGAUACCGAGUUGUCUAAACUAAACAAAAUGAAAGCACCACCCUAUCUUGGAGGAGAAACCACUAUCGGCUACCGCCACUGGGGAUUCCUUCAGCAAUGCCAAGUAAGUUGAUGAAGCAAAACUUCCAAGCUUGGCUGAGGAAGAGAAGACUUGCAAACGCCCCCGUGAAUGAUUGGUCGGAGUCCAGCAAACCGUCAACCCCACUUAGCUUUCAUGUGUUUUCACUUUUCUAAAUUCCUAUGUUUUUCUUUUUUUGAGCAAAAAAUCCUAUCUUUUCCAAUUUCUGAGUUUUCGUAUUGUUUCAAAAUUUCUGCAAACUAUCACCCACUAAGGUUAGCAUUUACUUUUUUUAUUAAUUUAUGGGGAACAUUGAAGAGUAUUAGUAUUUUCUAUGUCCGCUUAUACA
Brassica napus (rape) is the source of this 1438-nucleotide long non-coding RNA. RefSeq lists it as uncharacterized. The record is from RefSeq and is a predicted model, not a curated record. Lineage: Eukaryota; Viridiplantae; Streptophyta; Magnoliopsida; Brassicales; Brassicaceae. The transcript has 7 exons.